UAUCUCUCCGUACGGGGAAGGAUGAGAAGCUUCGACUAAGGUUCGAUUCGAGCGCAGCGAGAAAGCGUUGCCGCAGGCAACGACCCGAAGGGUGAGGAGCG
This 101-nucleotide small RNA is filed under the name Salmonella enterica. Its description in RNAcentral is "partial RtT sRNA". It matches the Rfam family "RtT RNA", at positions 1 to 100 of the family's 130-position model. Rfam says of the family: This family represents a bacterial cis-regulatory element known as RtT RNA. The exact function of RtT is unknown although it is thought that it may be involved in changing the cellular response in relation to amino acid starvation. Lineage: Bacteria; Pseudomonadati; Pseudomonadota; Gammaproteobacteria; Enterobacterales; Enterobacteriaceae. RNAcentral also lists the same sequence under 2 other names. The record is from RNAcentral.